AACACGACUCUCGGCAACGGAUAUCUCGGCUCUCGCAUCGAUGAAGAACGUAGCAAAAUGCGAUACCUGGUGUGAAUUGCAGAAUCCCGUGAACCAUCGAGUUUUUGAACGCAAGUUGCGCCCGAGGCCUUCUGGUCGAGGGCACGCCUGCCUGGGCGUCACGUC
RNAcentral lists this ribosomal RNA (165 nucleotides) under Digitaria sanguinalis. RNAcentral's name for it is "5.8S ribosomal RNA". It matches the Rfam family "5.8S ribosomal RNA". From Rfam's summary of the family: 5.8S ribosomal RNA (5.8S rRNA) is a component of the large subunit of the eukaryotic ribosome. It is transcribed by RNA polymerase I as part of the 45S precursor that also contains 18S and 28S rRNA. The record is from RNAcentral. Lineage: Eukaryota; Viridiplantae; Streptophyta; Magnoliopsida; Poales; Poaceae.